Cynocephalus volans (Philippine flying lemur) is the source of this 130-nucleotide small nucleolar RNA. RefSeq annotates it as small nucleolar RNA SNORA71. Lineage: Eukaryota; Metazoa; Chordata; Mammalia; Dermoptera; Cynocephalidae. The record is from RefSeq and is a predicted model, not a curated record. The transcript has a single exon.
UCCUGCAUCUGAAAGUGAUCAAGGGCUGCCUGUGCCCUGGUCAUUGGUAGUGCAGGGAGAGGAAUGCUGAAAGUUUUCCCCAUGUUUGGAGGGUCCAGCCGUCCCUUGUGAACCCUGGAGCUUUCCCACA